RNA transcript from Mus musculus (house mouse), 35586 nucleotides. It is a transcript of the gene named retinoic acid induced 1, with no coding region annotated. The transcript has 4 exons. NCBI's taxonomy places the organism in Eukaryota, Metazoa, Chordata, Mammalia, Rodentia, Muridae. The record is from RefSeq and is marked validated.
UAGGGGGUACAUUUGAAAGUGAAAUGAGAAUUCUUCUGGAGAUAGAUUUUUUUGUUUUGUUUUAAGUAAAGAUGAAGAGGCUUUUCUGCAUUCUGAGUAUUGCCAAACAUAACAUUUCUGAGAAUGGAGCCUUUCUAGAGAUAAAUUGUAGUGCUUCUUGGAGGAUGAUUCUGGAGUAUUUCUGGAAACAAUGGGACACUUUUGGAUCUGAGGUACUUCUGGAGGUAACAUGAGCAUCUGGAGAUGGGGCACAGCUUUUCUGGAAAGCUUCUUGGAGUAGAAAUAGAGUUGUUAGGAGAGCAGUGACAUUUCUGGAGAUGGAUCAUACUUGAAGAGAAAGGUGUUUCUAGAGAUGGAACACCUUUUUGGAGCUAAGGAAUUUCUGGAAUUGGAGGGAAGCACUCCUGAGGAGGAAAUGGGUGGUUCUUAGAGAUGGUGUUUUGGAUCAAGGAUAGUCAUUUCUUUUUUUUUUUUUUUUUAAAGAUUUUUUAUUUAUUAUUAUAUGUAGUACACUGUAGCUGUCUUCAGACACACCAGAAGAGGGAGUCAGAUCUUGUUACGGAUGGUUGUGAGCCACCAUGUGGUUGCUGGGAUUUGAACUCUGGACCUUCGGAAGAGCAGUCGGGUGCUCUUACCCACUGAGCCAUCUCACCAGCCCCCUAGUCAUUUCUUGAAAUGAGGGGGCACAGCCAAGCAGGCUGUUUGCCAGAGCCCCCCCCCCCUUUCCCCUCAUGCCCAUGCUCUGUGAGGUGGCUUUGAGGUGCCGAGGUCAGUGUUAUCUUUGCCCUUCUCUGGGCCUGCAUAGGAUCUCCAUAAAGGAAGACCCAAGCCCUCCCAGGCCUACCCCAUCCUACCAUGCCCUUUAGUCUCACCAUGGGAUAGCUAGUGUUGAGUGGGGUUCAUUUAAUUCAGUUUUGUUAGAGCCAGCUGAGGCUCCCUUUAUGGCCUCUAGUCUUUCUUCACCCCAUCUUCUUGUCCUUCAAACACUCUGGAGGCAGGAGGAUAGGUGGGGACUACAAGGGUGACCCUAAGAAAAGGCCCAACUUCUUUCCCUGGCUGUGGGGUGCCUGUCUACCUCUUUCAAUUCCGGACACCAAGACCUGUCCCCACCUGAGCUGGCCUGGAGCCCUGUAGUAAUUAUUUCUCUGCCUUAAUUGAAAUUUCAGCCUCAGUGAAUAUCCCUCAGAAGUGUGCAGAGGCAAAGGCCCUGCACCAGCCUCAGGUGCCCCUCCCCGCCUCAGAGGAUGGUGGUGCAGGCUGCAGUACCAGGGAGAAGGUCUAGGUGGGUGGGCUCAGGACAGUUAUGGCAGACUGUUAAGCAUAGAUUACACUUCUUAUCCCUGCUGGACUAGAAGAUACUUAGAGAAAACAUAGUCCCAAGCUGGCCAAGGAGUAAUGGUAGGGCUGUGAGGAGUUAAUGAUUGGGGUAGCCUGAGGAUGUAGGGACUCAGGAAAGCCUGUGCCUCCUCUUCUUUUGACUGGGAGAAGGGUGGGAUGAUACUCAGGUAGUGCCUUGAUAGCUGAUGGCAACAGGCCCAGUUCUUGGCUCAGGGCUGAGUAAAGCAUUGUGGGUAAGGUUGGGUUGGCUGGAGGACUUCGAGGAACCUAUUUCCUGACUGCUGCUGGGUGGAGUAUGGCUUAGAUGCUGUAUGGGUGCCAUCUUCCCUUUCCCUCCAUCUUGUGUAGUCCCUAUGCUGGACCUGUCUGCUGAGGGAGAGAACAGAGAACUCAAAGGAACACUGCUCCUGAUAAAGGGCUUUUUAAAUGGGUGUGGUGGUGUAUACCUUUAAUUCUAGCACUUCAGGAGGCAGAGACAAAUGGAUCUCUGUGAGUUUCAGGCUAGCCUGUUCUAUUUAACCAGUUCCUAGCCAGCCAGGCCUACAUAGUGAGACCUUGUUUCAAACAAAGCACUAAGAGCCUGCUGAUCUUAGUAAUAUUUGUCUGGGCCCAAGAAAACUACUAUGCAAGCCCUCACCUCGUCCACACAGGCCCCCAGAACUUGCAGGAGUCCAGACAGCCUGCACUGGCUCAUGAAUCUCAGUCUUCAUCUGGGAAGUGGGUCAGGUUAGCAGGAGUUAUCAGAACAAAAGUGACCUGUAAAAUACCUAGGACUGCAAGUACUGUUAACGUGCGUCUGGCACCUCUUAAACAGUUUGAGUUGGUGUGGGGCAGCUGCAGUUCUUUCAGAGGAUAUCUGUCUGGUACCUAGGAAGUAUCUGGAUAUGAAUAUCCUGAUUAGGGCUGCUCCACCCCAGCAAAGGGACAGUUGUGUGACAAGGAAAACUCAAGGCAGUUGGAGUAAAAACUGACAGCAUGCCGGAUGUGGUGGUGCACACCUUUAAUCCCAGCACUCAGGCAGAGGCAGGUGGAUUUCUGAGUUUGAGACCAGCCUGGUCUACAAAGUGAGUUCCAGGACAGCCAGGGCUACACAGAGAAACCCUGUCUCGAAAAACAAAAAAAUGAAAACCAAAAAACAAACAAACAAACAAACCUGACAGUGUAUCAGGGGGUUGGGGAGGAUGCUUAUGACGGGCCCAUUGUAUCCUUACACUACGGCCAUCACACAGGAAGCUCCUGAAGCACUAGUCUGCUCAGCAUGGCUUCCGGUGCUAGCUGCUUGCUCCUGGCAUUGUUCACAGCCUGUCCUAAUUGGGGUAUGUGGCUGUGGCUACCCUCUAAGGGAGAGAAGGGACAGGGAUGACUAGACAGGAUAGGACAUGUCCGCCCUUGGCACCUGAGGAGGUGAAGGCGGGUGCAAAUGAAAAUGGCUAUCCCAUUUGCAGUUCUUUACUUCAUGACUAUGACAGGGUGAGGAAGAAGAAAGUGAGGAUGGCGGUCUAAGCUGGCAGCUAAGAGAAGGGUAUCUGAGUCGAGGCCAAGGCUGCUGACAGGGUUGUUGCACCUCUUGCCUACCAAGCUGCUUGACUGGUUGCAGCUCUAGAAAGCCAUCUUAUUGCACAUUCUAGCAUUUGUUUCUCCUUUCUCAGAUGAGCUCUGCCUCCACUCCAUGAGAAUGUUUAGAUUCUACACUAUCAGCUUGACACCAGCUGGCUGCCUCUCCCUUGUACAGGCCAGGCUAGAGGCUGAAUCAGUUGGUAAUGACCAAAGGCAGCCAGGGGUGAGUCCAAGGCACCAGCCCAACUGCCAGUCAGCUGCUAAAGCUUGGUUGUAGACAGGGCUGUGGUUAUGGAGCCCUCCCCAUGCAUAGAACCACCAGCUGCGCUGACAUGAUUCACCAGGACAGGCAGCUCUGCUUCCCAUUGUAGGGAGGGUGGUGGAAGCCUCCAGAUGCUAUGGUCCCACCCCAUGAGGAGGAUCAUAGGCCAGACCUAAUGUAACCCAGAGGGAACAGUCAGCGUCGGAGGUUAGUGUCUGGAUGAAUGGGUAUCGGACACUGCAUAGCUUAGGCUAGACCUUGUCCCUGGUACCCUGGACUUGGUCCCUACCCAGGAGAGCCUUUGACCAUCCAGGGAAAGGUGCUCUGUGGAUUACACUGAACAGAAUUCUGUGGCUCAUGCUGCUCCCAUGGUCCAGGUCCUCUCUAAAGAGCACAUUUGUCAUGCAUGGGCUGUCGUCUGCUUUGCCUGUCAUCCAGGGAACUCUUGUCUUUCAGAGCAGACAGUUUGCUCUUCCUCAGAAGUACUGUCCAGAGACACCUAUUUUGCACCCUAACCCAGUUGUCUCCAGAAAGUUAGGGAUUUCCCUCCUAUGGCUCCCUACCUGUGCCAGCAGAAAACUGGCUUACUCCUGGAGCUGCCCAGGUGAGAAAUGACAUUGUGCCAGGGAUUUGUGCAGGUACAACACUUUUCAGUAAGUGCCUCUGAGGUUGUGAAGCCAGACUUAGAGAGUAAAAGAAUUCUCUAGACCACAGAGACAUCCGAGAUUUGAACUAGGUCUUAGAGCAGAAUCUUGUAAAAAGCUGUGCCUGUUGGGACCAGGGAAGGAGGCCUGGUGGACAGUGCUAUUUUGUGUUUGUUUCUGACCUCUACCCUGUUGCCUACCAACGCAGCAAACCCUGGGACAGAUCCUGUCUUAUUUUCUCCAGAACAAAGCAGGCUAAAGCCAAGGCUUCAGUGAGAGGAGGUAAAAGAAACCAAAGCUUGCCUUUUGUCCCCCAAGAAAGCAUCUAGGGAAACGGAUUUGUCCUUGAACCGUAAUGGGAGGCCUUCAGGAGAUGUGAAGGGGAGAUUGAGGCAGAGGCACUUGGGCUGUGAUGCCACUCUCCCACCCCCACUUCCGUUAGAGCUUCAGGAGGUGGACACCAUUUUAGUAUUCAGCACACGCUCAGGCUCAUAUAUGUGCAUACAUGCACACAUGUCUCGUCACUUACGCUACCGGUUCCCCUUUAAACAAGGCCUGGAACAACUGACUAAUGGAGGAGAGGGGAUGGAGAAACAGAAAGGAAAAAAAGAGAACUUAGGUGAGAGAAAAUUCAGUACUGGAUACUUUAGUUACCAGUGCCUAGUGACUCACAGGGCAGGCUCAGCCACCUUCCUGAGGAGGGAGACCCACCCUCUGGGCCCCUCCAUCACCCCAUUAAGAAGAUGGGUCCUUAUUCCUGAGUUCUGAGGCAGAAAGAAAAAUCAAGGAUUUUUCAAUAAGAGAACCCCCCUGGGUGGCUCCGAAUAGUUGCUUCCUUUUGUGGUGGUGAGGGACAUGCCCUGCCCUCUUGUCCUUGUCCUGCUCCACUCUGCCAAGGCUGCCUCCCUCCACCAGCUGCAUCUGGACCCCCCUGUGCCCGGGUCCCCACAUGGAUGAGCUCUUCCUCCAAAGCUCAAGUCUUAUUGUUCCUGCCCUUCCCUCCUAACACCCUUAGCUUAGCAGAGGCCACAGGCAGCCUUGCAUCUCAGGAAAGCCAGAGAAUCCCUGAGGCUUUUCUGAAAAGGCUUAAAGCUGGUGCUCUAUGCCGAGGAAACAAAAGCACGCUCCCUACAUCCAGGGUGAUGGGCCUGUGGGCCAGGGCCAUGAUCAUGGCCAUCGCUGCAGUGCCUGUGGACGGGGAAUGAAUGGAAAACAGACUGGUUAAGGAGGGGAAUAGAGGAAAGAAGGAGAUGCAUAAAUCUAUUUAUCAGACACUGCAUAUCUUAGGCAAGCACAUUUCAGCUGUUUUGGCUUUUGGCAAGCUGGUCCUAUCCUUUAAUUUUCUAAUAAAAAGGAAUUACAUUUCCUGAAAAGGCGUUAGCCAGCUUCAUGUCACUGUAUCUUGUAGGGACCAUAAUUCCUUUCUUGUGUGUCCUCUUGCUCUGAGGCAGGCUCCUGGGGUCACAAGUAAUGUGAAUGGGGUCAGAACAGAUACGAGAUACACCUUAAGGCUUGCUCAUGCCCUUCCCAACCUGGCCUAUUCACUCCUGACUCAGUCCAUGUCUCUAGGUACAAGGACUGGCCUGAGACUCACAGCAGAAACUUAAUACAUGAAGAAUUCAUAUAUUUUUACUGCUGAUGUCUCGAUAUCGAGCAGACUGCUUGGAUGAUGAAAUCUUGGUUGGAAUUAGUGAAGAAAUGAACAAAUGAAAACUUCAUUCUUUAACUAACUGGAUGGACUUACCCAUCCUCCCUCCUGUCUAAGUUCUGAAACUAAAUUUAUUAGAAACUGCCAAAAAUGCUGUCAUUCCCCCCCCCUUUAAACCAUACACGUUGUUUUCAUUUUAAAGAUAGUUUUUACAUUUAUCUAUUUUGUAUAGAGUGGAGAAAGUAUUUUUAUUACAGUGAAUGUAAUAAAUUAGUUUUCCUUUCUACCGUGUGAGUUUCAGGGAUUGAAUUCAUGUCUGUAGGCUUGGGGGAGAGCAUCUUUGCCCUCUGAGCCAUCUUGGGAGCCCAUAUACAUGGUUCUCAGUGCUUCAUUUAUUUUUCCAGAUUUACUUUAUACCUAUGGACAUUGUCUAUAUGUACAUGCAUGUAUGUGCAUCUGUCUGGUUAUAGCUCUGCCUAUGGAGGCUGCAGGUGGGCCCUGCCUGCUGUCCAGCAGGGCCAUAGGCAGUACAGAGUGGUCCUGAUACAUGCAUCCCUCUCCCGAGGGGGUGUCUUUUGCUUUACACAUGCUAUCGUUCCAGUCCUAGGUUGACAGAACUCUGACCACAAUGAGUACUUACCAAACACUAGCCUUGGGGACUUGGGAGCAGCCUUCCUUGUUCUGUGUACAGUUCUAGGCCCUGAGUGUCCUCAUAUCCCUGCUGUGUCCAAGUGUCUCACAGUGAAGAAAGCAUGGAUCCAGAAGGGUGAAGAAGCCACAGCAGCUCCCCACUGCUAGUGCCCCGCUCUACCAGACCAGUUUGAGCCAAUAGAAAAAUGAGGGCCCGCUAGGUGGUGGUGGCACACGCCUUUAAUCCUAGCACUUGGCACUCAGGAGGCAGAGGCAGGCAGAUCUCUUGAGUUUGAUGCCAGCAUGGUCUACAGAGAGAGUUCUAGGACAGCCAGGGUUACACAGAGAAACCCUGUCUUGGGGGGGAAAAAAAGACAAAGUUAAUAAUAAUAAUAAAUACUAGGGCCCAUGGGCUAUGGGGUUUUGGAUCUCAGUGAAUGUGGAUGUUUUCUUCAGGCUGCUUCUGAUUAAGGUGGAGUUAGCCCCUCACUAACUGGAAGGCUUGAAGGCCAUUGGAGUUCAGCCUACGGACAUGUGCCCAGGGCAUGUUCCUGGGUGGCUCAGAAGUCCAAAGUGAUAGACUCCGCUUAGGUAUAGCUAGUCUUAGCUAGGAAAUUGAACCAGCAGGGUCAGAAUAGGGCCAAGGACAUGCAGGGGGGGCCUGGUUAGCUCUGAAUCCAUAGAGGCAGUGGGCAGGUUGUUGGGCUCUGGUAGGGCAUUGUCUCCUGGCACCCUAGUACAGUGUGCCUUUGAAUUCUGUCUCUCUGUAGAUCGUUUUUUAGAGUGUGUUUAAGGUAGGGAGGCUUUGCAAGACAGAGAGGUACAGAGCAGGUACUAGGGCCUACAGCCCCAAGAUGUGGCUGCUCUGUCCAGAUUGGUAUGGGUCAUGCUUAGGGCCUGGUGACCACUGGAGAAGGCAUAUUCAAGGGGUGGCCUGUGGAUUCUUGCCGUUCUGGUACGCUUCUGUCAGGCUGCUCCACCUGUGAGCACUGUCUCAGUGUAUCUGUGUCAAGGUAUUCACACUAUAAUGUGGAAGUUAGUUCUUCCUUCUGCCGUUUGGGUUCAAGGGAUUGAACUCAGGUCUUCAGGCUUAGUGACAGGUGCCUUUACCUUCUGAGCCAUCUUGCCUCGCCACCAACCCCUGCCUACAUAAUCUUGCUUAAAGAUCUAUGUAGAGACAGAGUUCAAAGGCCUUUGUGUAGCAGGAACCCUCCACUGAUUUGGUGACCAUGAACCUGGUCAAGGUCCCAAAGGGACCACUGUAUCUCCUAUCGCCCAUGAUGCUCAGCUGCUGCUCCCCAGAAAGAAGUCUUGUCAUAAAGAAAAGGAGAAAGAGGGAAGACAGGCUUUCGCAGCAUCUCUUGGAGGGCUGGUGUCAUUUUUCUGAUCUGAGGAAGCAUCUGUUCAGCUCUUCAGAGGGUGGGGGUUGCUUAGAGCUGUGCAGCGUGGAGUAAGCCUGCUUCUAUCUUGGGGGUGUGAUGAGCCAUGGGGUCCCUGCUCCCCCACAGAUUCUUGCUUGGAAUUUCUACAGCCAUUAAGUAGCCUCUGGCUGUCCCUGCCUCAUCCAAAGAUGGGGGCUUCCGUGGAUAAUGUUAGAGUCUGCCCUUCAGUGUCAUUUGGCAAAGACCUUACCUUGCAUGAGAGCUCACACACGUCUUUGUUUUUUAAAGAUAACAGCUGCCAAACAAAUUGUGUGUAUUAUGUGACGAUUAAUUCAUUACCCUGUUUCUUAUUAAUGAAGGAUAGUUAUAACUGCCUCUCUGAAUGUUGAUGGGGGAAGCCAGGAGGGUCUCUAGCCCAGAGAGGAGCUUUAGUUGGGGUGAACACACUGUACCUCUAAGGGUUUCUAGAAGACAUAGUGAUGGCUCAUGGACCCACCCAUAUCACCAAGUCCAGGCUGGGUGCCUGUCUCUUAUAUGGAAACUGGCUAGUAAUCUUCCUGGAGUUAGAGGACCUGUUCCCAGCCCUGAGAGUGGCAGCAGGGGGUAGCUACUGUGUACUACCCCCUACUCUAGGCAGAGCAGAGCCUGGUUGGUAGAGGAGUGUCUUAGCACACCAAGAGCUGCAUACAGAACUGAGGAACCAAUAAGUGGACACAGUCCAGAGGCACUGGGUGUAAGGAAGACUUCCUGAAGAUGGCACUGCUCUAAGAAGUUUGGGGAGUUUAAAUGUUUUUUAAAUGGUUCUGGGGAUGGAACCCAGGUCCUGUAUGUGUUAGGGAAGGAAGGUUGCCAUAUGAAAAGAAACAACAUAUGCAAACAUGAUGUACAUGGAGCGGUGAUGGUGGGUCACCCUUAAGUGCUGAGUAUGAGCUGAGGGAAUGACACCCCAGGGGCCUCUGCCUUCCUCUACUGUUAGGUACCCAGUGACAAAGACACCUCCAGGCUAGGGCUUUUAGUUCUUGACCAGAAGAUGUCAACCAGACUAGGAUGUAUAUCACAGCAGCCUCCAGUGCCUGUCAGGCCGUCCCUUUAAUUUACUGCACCCAACUCCCAAGAUUCCUGUUGAGAAAGAGGCUGGAUACAGAGCAGAGUCUGCAUGUCAGCAGAGUUGAUCUUCUUGCCAGCUGCCCAGCUGCCUCCAGGGACAGCCUUCCAAGUGCUGGGUUAAAGGAGCGCACCACCUCACCUGGCCUUACCUCAGGUUUUGAGACAUGUUCUCUCUGGGAACCAGGCUCUCCUCAUUGGGUAGGGCCAGCACUGUGUCUCCACCUCUUCAGUCCUAGCUAGGACUGACUAUAAACUCUCCUGGCUCCUCUUGUGGAUGCUGGAGAUUUAACUCUGGUCUUCGUGCUUUCACAACUUUGCUGACUGAACGACCUCCCCAGACCCCAUCUCAGGUUGGAAUAAAAAUAACCACUUGGAAAAUAAAAUGACACAUUUGAGUCUUCGGCCUCCAGCAGGUCCCUUUACCAUAUCUUUCCUGGGCUCUGGGUCCAGAUUUAAGUUGGAGAUACUCUUGAACACUUGGAAAUUGGAGAAAAGUUCUUGAUCUUCUGCAGAAACAUAUGCUUGUGCAUGUACACAACUUUUCAUUUGAUUUCGGGUAAUCACCACACCCGGGCUGGGUGUUGGAAGGUGGGGAGACCUGUGUGUGGACAGACUGCCGCGCUGAUAAGAAGUCUGUGGUUGUACAUGUCGUACACUGGCCUCUGUGCAUGGCUGGCCCCUGGAGUGUUUUGUACAAAACCAUGUGGCAUACAUCUGGCCAUCAUCUUCCCUUCUCCUUUUUUAUAACAGCUCAGGCUGUGACACUGAUGAAGUUAUGAGAAUUAUGUGUACACCAGUGAAGAACAGUCCUACAAAUUGUGCCAUUCACCCUGUCCAUUAGGCUCAAAAGGACUGUCCCCAUCUUGCUGAGGACCAAGGGAACCUGGGGCAGAUUGCUCUGGACUGAGAUGCAGGGCCAGGUGCUGCCUGUUUUUUCAGGUGGGGACAGUUGGAGGAGUGUGGGUCAUGGCCUAGGCUAGCUCUGCCUUGUCAGGCACAGAGAAGGCUCAGUCUAGGUGGGAACUGUUCCCACCUGUACAGGCAGGUGUGAAGGGUGUGAGAGCACCUGAAGCCAGCAUAGCACUGGGUGUCUGCCAGCAAAGCAGCCUGGCUACAGUGCCUCAGCCUUGACCUAUCCGCUGCUGUCAGGAAGUGCAGGGCCUGCCCAUGCUCCUCUCAUCUGUAACCCCUUGGUCUCUGAGGCUUUUCCAGGCAGUGGGACUUCAAGCAGAGUCCUUUUGCAGCAGACUCCCUGGCCAACAUGAAGAUGUCUCCAGCAGCAGCCUCUGCCACUUGUAGCUAAGCAGGGGAAGUUGGACUUGCAAGUUGGCUCCAUGGAGCCUGUAAUCAGCCCUGCAAGGCCCCUGCUGUGGGCACCCUUAAGUGCUGCUUCCGGAGCCUACUUGAGAUACACCUGCUUGUGCUCAGAAGAGAGGCAACAAUCCACCAAAACAACCCCAGGUGCCGGCAGGAGGGGUCAGGACUCAGAUUCCCUUCUCAUGGUCCAACAUUGUGUGAGGUCUGGUGCAAGCUUCCUCAAGUUUUAGUGUCCUUGGAGGUGCAUGGCCCCAGGGCUUUCCCUCCCAGGGCCUCUGAUGGAUGCCAUCGUUGGGAGAGGAAUGAGCUCCUGACUCCUUCCUAAGCCUCCUCCUUCACUGUGCCCUCAUCUCUUUCUUUCCAGAGACAUUAUAAAUCAAACGGCUUAGAACGUAAGGCAUCAAAAAUUCUGAAACCUUCAUCUAUUAUUAACGCUGACAGUAAAUUCCCCCUUCGAGCAUUUUACAUAGCAACUGUUACCAAGACUCACGGGUAGAGCUGCACUCAACCACCAAAUCCUGGAGGCUCCGGGCGGAUGGCUGGGCCAGCCAGUUUCUGGGCCAUACUUGUUGGCCACCUGAGCACCUGCUAGCCUCUCCAGCUGCUGGUGGGGAAGGAAGGAUCUCUUAGCUAAGGAAACAGCUGAUGUCCUGCUGAAAGAGGGUCCCAGCUGCUUUUGCUGAUCUCUGCUGCAAGAUCCUCACAGACCCCAGCUCCAGGCCAGAGAAAAGGCCCCUGAGGCUUUCUGAGGCCAUGCCUGGGGGUAGGGAUAGGGUCUGAGAGGGAAGACAGGAAAAGGCUUCAGAGAUGCUAAGGGUUGUGCAGAUGUUGUUUACAGACUCACCCACCUGUCAGCCAGACUUUCCUGAGUGACUGUUUGUCUGCAGGCGGUAUCUAAGCACCAGGGAUUUAAAACAAAGACAAAAGGCCUAGUCCCUGUCGAAUCUGGUUUGGUAGGAGACAGUGGUGUCAAGCUCUAAUUGCAGUGGAGUACAAGAAUCAAUGUGUGUACCAGGAACCCACUCAGGGAAGAGGGACAGGCAGAAAAGGAUGGGGUGGAGAGUGGCUGCCCAGGGUUUGAAAGGAUGAAUAGGAUCUGUGGGUUUUCAACAUAACUGGCAUAUGCUCAGGUUCCGCAGCAAGCAUUAGCCCAACAUUUGUUGCAGAUGGAUCUAUUGAAGAAGGAGCUAGAAGAGAAAGCAGGAGAGGCUGUUAGAACUUAGAAUGUAAAGCAGUGGUGUUUGUUAGGUAGCCCUGGGAGCUGUGGGAGGGGAGCUGCCGGGACAUUGUACUUGCUUGUUACUUUCAUUGCACAGAUGAGGAGAGAAGGGUCUGCAAAAGCUUAGGCAGGCCCUUGCUACAUGCCCAGCCCGUGUUGGGUAGAGCAGUGCAGCCUUGGUUUAGUUCUGAUAAAGGCCUGGACCAUGUGGGUCUUUCCUGGAGCAGAAUGACCAACCAAGGAGGACCUGUCAGAAACCAGGACAGGGGCUUGGGAAAUAGCACGGAGUAAAGUGCUUACCAUGACAAGCUGGCAAGGUGGUGGAAACGUGUGAUCUCAGUGCUGAGGAGGUAGAGACAUUUGGAUCCCCAGAGUGCUCUGUUCAGGCAGCCUAGCCGAAUCAGUGAGCUGAGUUCAGUCUCAAAACUUUAGGUUGAGAGUAAUUGAGACAGAUGUCUGACACCAACCUCUGGCCUCUACAUACAAUCCCCCCCUACCCCCCAGCAGAACCAAACCAAACCAAAACAAAAAACAGGACCUCCAUGAAGCUAUGGGGUCAGUGUUAUAUAGUAACAAAUAAAAUAGGUGGUAACUGCAGAGAUUUUAGCAAAUGGAAAUCCUAGGAAAAUGGGCUUGCUGGUGGCCUUCCCUCUCAUCUAAUGCCAGGUCACACUGGGUCAUGGCCAGGAUGGGGCAAGAUGUUUGUUUUAAGACAGGAAUGGUAUUCUGAGUAACACAGCUUUUGGCAAACUGUACUCUUGGGGGGUGGGGGGGGGGUACACAGGGAUACAGGGGCCUUCCUCCAAAAGAUAAAUGAAGGAAAGUAGGCCACCAAAGGGCAAGGGGACAGUGCUGAUGUCUUUCCUCACGGUCCAUCACAUUCUGUACUUAGCACAGCUCUGCAUGUAUUGUCUCCAAGGCUAAGCAAGCAGGUUUAGAGAUGUGCUGAGCCAUGAGAUGGUCCUGGAUGUGGGAUGGGGAAGCUUUCUAGAGUAGGUGGGCUAGGAUACAAGUGUGAGAGACUUGGGUGCAUAGCCUCGGUUCACUUACCUGCAGAAUUGGCUUGUGGCACAUUCCUGUAGUCUCAGAACUUUUGAGGUAGAGGCAGAAGGUAAGAGCCUCAAUUAUGUAGUGAAUUCAAGAGCAGUCUGGGCCACAUGACAUACUGUCAUGUUCCCCAACCCCCACCCCAAAAGAGAAAAAUGAGGCACACCUCAGCUAUAGACUAUGGUUCAGGCCAGGGCUACAGGUUUGUGUUCUACAGUGUUACAGGUGAGGGGAACAAAUGACUAGGCAAAUGUAGCUGAACACUCAGUUAUCAUGGUGGAAGGCAGAGAGGGAAGAAUCGAUGAUCUAGAGAGGGCUUGGCCUUUAGGGCUAGAGACACCACAGAUUACUGUCUCUCUGCUUUCUGAAAACUAAUUUCAAGGUGUGGCCAGCUGAGUUCUGGGUAGCUUUUGUCCCCCUGCUUUAGAGAGGGCGGAGCCCCACCCAGCAUGGUGGGGGAAGUAUCCUCCAGCUGUGUGCCUGACUUUGGUUUCCUUCGCUCUCAUAUGGCCUCUUAGCUCUCUUAAACCCUAUGCAGGCUUCUAAAGUUAUAAUUGAUAUGAGACCUCCAGUACACAAAGUCCUCAGCAGAAGGGUCCGGCUCCCCAUCUGGCACCAACUGCUCAGAGAUGGCCUCUGUGCCUCUGGCAUGUAGUAAGGGCCUGGCAGAUGAACACUGCCUUUGGCCUCUUCACUGUCCUCCCAGGGUGAUGAGUGGCAGGUAUUUCAGCAAUUUCUCGGAUUUCUGUGUACUCACCAGAUUCUGCAUCUGGAACCCAAACCACGGUUUUUUGAUUUUUGUGAGCAUCUACCAUGUGCUAGUGGAUGGGUGCUAUGACAGAACCGGGAACUGUGGCCUGGAAGAAGCUACUGCUGCUAAGGAUAGGGUUUCAGGGAGGGAAUCCAAUGUAAUCUGAGGAGAGAUGGUCCUUGUGUGGAGAUGACAAUCCAUGGAUAGUGUGCCAGGCAAAUGGAGAGGGUAGAGCAUCCUAGCAUUUGAUGCCCAGUGUGUUUAAAGGCUGGGUAUGCAAAAAGUCUUUUAAAGGAUCUUGUAGUGGGCACCAUGGUUGGAGGGGCCUUUGGUGCCCUGAGCUAGCAGCUCCUGAGCCUGAACACCACCAGCAGACAGUCUCCAGUCAGCUGCAUUCUGUACUGCUCAGCUGUAGAGCGAACAUUCACUUCUUCAUUGGGCCAGCAUGUUCCUUCUGUGUGCCCCCAGAGUUCCCAAGACGCUGUAGAGCCAUGGUUGGGGCCUAGUAGCAGAGUGCUUAGUAUAUAUGAGGCCCUGGGUCUUAUCUCUAAUCACAAGCAAGUAAAUGCACAAGGCAGGAAAUUUGAGAAUGGGGAGCUGUAGAGAUGGGAUUUGGUCUGCAGAGGAAUCAGUCAUAGGAAGUAGCUUUGGGUUAUAAAAGGAUGCAAGUAGACAGUGGGAAUAAGGGGAAACUGUAUAUGUGCUCGAGGGGCCCAAGUAGCUGCAGCACAGGCGGAAGAGGAGUAGGGGAAAGUAGAUGGCCUGCUUCCAGCACAGCCUUGGCUGGCCUGGGGACGUCCGUGUGACUUGAGGAUAGUCUCUCUUCAGGCAGUAGGAAAGCUGCCCAUGUAGCUUCAUGUGUGACUGAAUGAGCGGAUCGCAUUCUCUGAGCUUGGGAAUUUUGUGGUGUGUACUUGCUCAUCACCCUCCCAGCUGUGACCAUGGUUAGCCAUGGUUGUUCCAUGGGGAGGAAGGAUACAUGGAAACAAAUUUAAGACCCCAGAACACAGGCCAUCUCAAGACCCUCUGUCUUACUUCUCCAUGUUCCCCAGUUCCCUCCCUCUCUUUCUUCCCUUUCCUACCUACCUUCUAUGCCUGUGGGCUGCUCUGAAGGCUGGUAGAGGUGAUGAGAGCCUCCUGCUUGUAUGCCAAGUUUGUUGGUGUAAAGUUGGGGUAUGUAUCAUAUGGCCUCCAUUGGAAGCCUUUUUUUUAAUGGAAAAAAACACAUUCCCUGGGAUUCCAACUCACAUGACCUGAAACAGUUUGGCCAACGAUACUGUUUCCUGUGUUCCCAGGUCAUUCAUUUUCUGAGUCACCUCCCCCUUCUAAGCAAUAGGAGACGUGUCUGUCAGAGAAGAAGGUUGCUUAGGAGCUGCCCUGGACCACCCAGAAUGAGCUGUAGAAAUGACAGGCACACCAGCUGCUGACUGUGAACUUGGCCCUCGCCACUGGGAAGAGCUGGCUCAUAGGCCUGACCCAGUAGUUCAGUCAGCCUCUGCCCAGCCGAGCCAAAGGCCUGGGAAUGGAUGUGGACAGGAGGCUGCUGCUCACAAGCUGCUGCUCACAGUUGGCCUAGUCUUCCGGGAGACCCUUUCCAUCUUAAGAUUCUUUUUUUUUUUUUUUUUUUUUUUUUAAAUAAAACCUUUCCCCUCCAACGGCUUUUUUUUUUUUUUUUUAAAGACUUUAUUUAUUAUUAUAGUAAGUACACUGUAGCUGUCUUCAGACACUCCAGAAGAGGGAGUCAGAUCUUGUUACGGAUGGUUGUGAGCCACCAUGUGGUUGCUGGGAUUUGAACCGUGGACCUUCGGAAGAACAGUCGGGUGCUCUUACCCACUGAGCCAUCUCACCAGCCCCCAUCUUAAGAUUCUUAUAGAUUGGUUAGUUCUUCUCUUUUUUGUUUUUAAGGAAUUAAGAGGGGUGAGGGUGUGUGGCUCAGUGUACAGCACCUGUACGUUGGAGGCCUUGGGUUUGAUCUCUUGUACCAUCAAAAACUAGAAAUGAUGUCAUAGUUACUGUUUUGACUGGCCUCCCCAGCCCCUAGGUGACCCAAAUACAGGGGUCCUUAGAUACCCGCCCCCAAAAGGACAGCCUGACAGGCAGUGUCUAAGAGGCUGAAAGGGAUGUGGGGAGAAAUGCAUCUUUGUUGCAGACCCAUGUGGGGCUCUUUAUGUAAAUGGUUUCAGUGCCUAACAGGAAAAAGAAAAAUGAGGCUUUGAUGUGAGCCUCGGCAUCUCUGUCAGACCUGUACAGUGUCACUCAGGCUUCGGGGUGGCCUGUUUCUAUUAAGGAGCUGUCAGCUGUUCUCAGGCCACAGGCCCAGGGGGCUCUCAGGGUAGGGGUGGUCCAGAGCUGUCUAUAGAAUGCUGUAUGAGUGUGGGAGCUGUGUUGGGGAUGUCGGUGGGUCUGGAUUCCCUGAGUACCAGAGCUGUGGGCCACCCCAGUAGAUGCCAGAGAAGAAAAGGGGAGAUGGAGACAGGUGAAGACCAGCUGGCCAGGCAGCACAGCAUUGCAUAGAGUGGGACAGGCUUCCUUCCCCUAGCAGAUACAGGAAAAGAUCCUGCUGUUCCAUAGACCUAUAUAAUCCAGGCUAUCUCAUGGAGAGGAUCCUAGGUCCCAAGGAACAUUCUAAAUGAAUAAAGAAUGACAGGGGACAGAUCACCAAAGGCUAAAACAGGCACACUGUGCUCUUAGUCUAGAAGGAUGUACGAUGUCUACAUGGUAUCUAUGGCAACAGUCUAUUAGCCAGAAUUUGGUUACACCAGCUCUUGUCCCCAUUCAUUCUAGAAAAUACAGAACUGCUGGUCUUUUUAGAAACCUUGCUGGAAAAAUAUGAAAAAAAAAAAUAGUAUUCACCUCCAACCUCUUACAUGAAAAGACAUUGAUGUUAACUUUUAGUGUCACAAACUUGGGAUUGUGUUUAGUGCCUGCUUCUGUGCCCUGUUCAUUGUAUAUUGUAUUCAGACCCUUAGCAUUUCUCUGUAAUAAGAAAAGCUCUAUGAGAACAGUGAUACUGUGGGCUGGGAUUUGGAGGACCUGCUGUGCUGUGUGAUCUUGCAGGAUCAGUUGAUUUCUCUGAGCCUUGUUCCUUGUCUCUGUGUAGGGACAGAGACCAAUGGUUGUUUCUCAGGCUCUGCGUAGGGGAUAUGGAUAUGUUGCCUGUCUCAAGAUACGUAACGGUGACAGCUUUGCCCUCCUUAGACGAAAGAAAGCCUGGUGAUGUUUGUGGCAGGGCAGGCACUGGACAACACUUUCCAGGUAUAUAGUUAGUGGGAUGCUGAGGACCUGGCUAGUGCUGCCUCCAGUAAGCACUUUACCACCUCUUAGCCCAGGACUUUGCAUCUCUGAACACUAGCCCCCACAUAGCCUCAGAAGCCAGUGAUGGUUUGCCAGUUACAUUGAUGGAAGCAGGGUAACUGCUCAAAGAAAGGAGUAUCUUGUUACUGUCUGGAUGAUGGGACUGGGGCCUGGCAUUGACUCUUGGUCCUGCAGUGCUCAUCAGGACUUCAGGAACCUCAGGAUAUUGUAUCCAUGACCAAUCCUCACCAAGUCAGCUGCCCAGGACCCAUAUUCAGAAAUCCCUGGUGCAUGCUACAGCUCUGCCAUCUCUGAUGAGAUCUCACUGUUUUCAGCAAGGGCCUUACAUGUCAGCAAAGCUUCCCUGACUCUUGGCCGCAGAAUUGCGUGACGUUCCCACAGCUCUAUCUGCCUGUCCCCUAUACAGUGGAGAACUCUGCUCUGAGGUCAGGUGCUUACUAGGAUCACAGGGGAUAAGGGUCUGGUUGGCCAUUAUAAACUCUUGGUCACACAUUCUGGGGGACAUGGGAUGAUAGGAGUCUUGGACUGGACAUAAGAAAAGGAGGCACACACAAUAGGGAUACCACCGCCUCACCUCCUAGUCUUCUUGGGCUAGGUGGGUAGUACCAGGCAGUGAAGUUAGGCAAGAUAUACUUGGUACCCGUCCAUGAGGGAGAUAGAAGAACAGGGUCAGGCCACUGAGUAUUCAGAAGGCUGGAUAAUGGUGCUCAGCAGUUUGAGGGGAAGCUAAGAGUGUGUCAGAGGGCAGCACAUAUAGGGCAGGCCUCAGGCAGCUUAGCGGGAAGGGAGCUAAAGGAAGCAGGCAGAAUGGUUUUCCAUCUACACAGAAGCCAGCGGCCGGAGCAGAGCUUCUGCCUUUCCUACCAGGCCACCCCAGGAUUGAGGCAGUUGAGCCUCAGAAUAGAAGUGAGCAUGUGGCUCUCUUUCCAAAGGAGGAGACAAAACAGGGCUCUGCCUUUUUAAUAUUCCAAUCAACUUUUAGGGGCUGGGUCUGGUGAGGGGCACAGGACAGCCUAGGGCAUGUUGAGAGCAGACUUGGUGGACCAUAGGAUAUGAGUUUGCAGACCUGUCCUAGGGGUCUGGGAGAGGCUAUGCAAUGCAAAGAAGGGAAGAACUGAUUCCAGUGAGGACACUGGGAAAGGACAAGGUCUGGUGUCUACUCAAGCACAGAGAGAGCCGCUGCAGUCCAGAAGGUCUUAGGGCUGGAGCUCAGUAUACUAAGGGCAGGAAAUGAAGGGAUAGGAAGACAUUGAACAGUUUAUAGCAAUAAAGCCCUGUGAACAGAGCUUCUGUGGGGCUACAGGGACAGAGGCUAGAGCCCUGGAGAGCCCUCUGGGUUGUAGGUACAGCAUCUGUGGCAGCUGGGCAUGUGAUAGGCUCUGUACUAUGGAGUGAGGUUGGAGAGACCUUGGAAGAGGAACACAGGUGAAGUGGUUAUGGGGAGACUUGAUGGAGUGGUGAGGGCUUGAGGGUGCCAGGGACACACUAGAUCUCAAUCAGAAGCUUUGGAGAAUCAGAAGAAAGAUGCAGCUGGGGGUCUUUUUCCUCAGAAGGAGGCCUAUGUUCUAGAAAGAAAUAUAGUCACUCAGAGAGGCCAAAAGAAGGAACAGAGGGAAAACAGAAUUAGAGCAGAGAUGGGGCAGGGCUAGGGGCUCCCCGGGCCGCCAGCUGUGGGGUCUGCCUUGGGAACAGUGAGGGGAGGAGUCGGUGUCAGGAGAGCUCGUGUACUGGCCUUCAGACAAGGUCUGGCGUUCAGGAUUUCUAUCCACCAGCCAAGAGGGGACAGCCUAUCUCCCGAAGAGCUUCAGGGCAUCCAGGCCUCAAGGACAAAGGCUGGGGUUGGGGGUGGGGGGUGAGCAGGAGAUGGAGCCUGUAGCUGUGAGCUUAAUGGCCCCGGAAAGAAAAAAAAAACAUAAAGCUGCAGAAUUACGGGGAGACAUAAACAGAGCUGUCAGGCAUUAGCUGCAGGGAGACGGCUGAGCAGGGUAGAGCUGCGAUCCUGUGUGUGCAUAAAAAGACAGAAGUUAUCAAAGGAGCCAGAUUAAGGAGCUGCUGUCUCUGCUGUACUCAGGUUCCCUGGCAGGUUCCUUUCUUAUGCCUCAGCCUGCCGCCUCUGGUCAUAGGCUCCGGUCACAUGCUGACCGAAGGGGGCAGGGGGCAGAGGUGCCAGUGAUGUUUGAGUGGACAGGGGACCCAGGUAGGAGUGGGAGGGUAGGAGUCAGGUCUAAGGAGGGGGCGGUGCUGACCCUGACCCUUUAUGAGUGAUCAUACACCCUGCCAGCUUUAUUUCUUGCUGUUGCUGAUGAUGAUGUUAGCUAAGCACUAAUGGACUUAAGUUUCAUCCAAAGCCAUCCCUGUAGUCCUCAGCAGAUGACAAACACCCUGCUCUCCUGAGCUGCAGAGAUACCAGCCUAUGCGGAGGCAUGUACAUGCCUGUGCAGAUAUGCUGCCCGCUGCCCCUGCUCCCAUCAGAGAGGCUCCCAGCAAUCCUGAGUUGGAGAAGGGUGGUGUCCCAGGUGAGAAUAGAAUUCUGAACUAGGUCUUAGGGGUACCUAGCAUGUAGACAGGAGCCUGGCCUAGUAAUUCUCAGGCCCCUCUUGAGUACCUCAGACCAAGCACCAUGAUGAGGGUCUGGGAACUGUCUGUUCUUAAACUCUCAUGCUCUUUUAAAGAAUCAUGUUAUGCAUGGGCUAAGAAAAAUACCAUUGGCUUUGCUGGAGGGCAGAACUCCAUUCACCUACCUGUUCACUCGCUCACUCAAUAAAUGUGAGGCCUCCACCACUUGAUCCAUCCUGCCCCCAACUCAAACAUGCCCAUCAGAGGCCUGAUUUGUGCUUUUGAGUCUCUUAGGGGACAGCAAUUGGGCAGUCUCUAAAUGCAGUUUGUGUGGGAGAAGAUCUUUUGUUGGCAGAGGUUCUGAAGGUUGUGGGGGGAAAUGGGCAAAGAGCUCUGGAAGCUGUGUGGCCCCAGGACCCACCUGGUAAGGAGAACGGGCAUGUAUCUGAAGAGGAGGGUACCAGAACAUAUGCAGGGCCCUCACAGAGGAUGUGUGGCAUCUUCAGGUGCUCCUGCUUACCUUGCAUAUGCCCACCAGUCUGGGAUGCCCUUCCUUCACAGUAUAGCUGGGGCUUUUAUCUACCCUUAAAGCUGCCCAGUGGGCUUGCACACACAUCUAUUGACUAAGGAAACUUCAUUCUUAUGUCCCAGCACCUGCCUUCAAUCACCCUAUGUUACGAGUGGUUCUCCCUCCCACUGAUGCCCAGUGAGGUCAAGGAGGACACUUGAGGAAGGUGGCCACCACCAGGAGGGCCUCAGAUGUCUCUCUCUUUAGCAGGCCUGGUGAGCUGGAGGCGAGGGUUUGGUAGGAUUUGAUUCCCACACUGUGUGACCCUUUUGUCCUCUCUGGGCUUUAGACACACACUGGGUUACUUAUAGAUAGUGGCCCUACCUGGUUCUGGCACACCAAGAGUUGCAAGUCAGGCUUGAGUUGGAGACAUGCAUUGGCAGGUUGGUAGACUGACUCCAUCACUGUUCUCUAGGAGAUAAUCCAGCUCUUCUUAACUGGCCUCCAUAUUUACCUGUCACUAUAGUUACUGUGAGUCACAGUGUACAUAUAUCCAGGGUUGUCACCCCUGCUCUUGUCUGUGCACUGUCACUUAGCACAUUUGUGUUCUGGGUCUUGAACCUGUCUCAAUUCCACAUCUAACUAAAGAAACUACAUUUUCAGACCUUUCCUCUCUGCCUCCCUUUCCCUCAGUGUUUCCUGCAUAUUUCUCAAGACUCAGGACUUCCUCUGGGUUAUCCCUCUGAUCCUGUGCCUCCUGGGUAUAAUAAGUUCAGCCUUUGCCUGUACAUCAGCGCUCAACUGUCUUCUGCAAGGGUUACUUGAUCUUUUUGCUGUUUUUGGCUGCGUCUGUUCCUAGCACCCAUGCACGUAGAGUACACACUUGGGAACUGCUUCUCAGGUGGAAGCAUAGUUGGGCAGGCGUAUGGAUGGGCAAGCGGAUGAAUGGGCAGGUGGGUGGUGGGUAGACAGGUGGACAGUGGGGAAGUUGAUGGGUGAAUGGAGACUACCUAGAUGAAUGAAUGGGAGGGUGUCAGUGGGCUGAGGGACUAGAGCUCCCAGGAGGUAAGCUUCUGAGCCUUGAAGGGGGCUCAGUUUCCCUGUGUGUAAAAUGUUCUGUCUGCUCAGCUCCUAUGGUUGGGAAUGGUGGCCAAGAAGACAAUAGGUCAGGUGUGACAGAAAGUGGCCACAAAGGAAAUUGUUAGCUUGCAGCACCGAAAAAAGAAAAGUUCCUUUUCUGUAGGCCCUGCCCUGACUAGAGAGUUGGGACUAGGGUUCAAUUUAAAUCCAAGUCUUGCUGUUUCCAAGAUAUCCUUUGCCCUCUUGGGAUUUAGUUAUUUGUUUGUUUGUUUGUUUGUUUUAAUAAGAUAGGGUGCUUAUGUUCUUGCUGAUUCUCUGGAGAUGAAAACAUUGUUUAGGCACACCCGGAAAACAUGGAUCCUAUACAUGUAGAGUUUUACACCCUGGCUCUGUCUCUGGGCCCGACCCCACUCACCACCGCAGCAUGAUUUAUAGAAUGUUAGAACUUUCAUCUGAAUACACAAAUGCCCUAAGCCUUUUUCUGUGCCUGUGACCUCAUCUGUAAAGUGAGUUAGGAUGUGACUGAUGCUCAGAACAGAGCCAGUACCUGGAAGGUCAGUGAGAUCGGUCAUAGUGAUGGUAGCAAGGGAUUUCUGUUCCUUAGUGGCUCUCAGCUCAGUUCUGGGAUAUGGACGUUUAACUGCAGUCCCUACUUAAAGGAUGACAAUUACAGGCUUGGAGAGGCGGGGUAGCUCGCCUGAGGUCACAGAGUCAGUCAGCCUCAGGGUCUUGGGUACUUGGUGUUUGUUCCCAAAGACUCUCGUGAGGGCAUUCUGGAAAAAGCGACUUCUAGAUCACAGUGAAGCACAAAGCUAUCCAGAACAUUCCUGGGGCUGCAGGGCUUCCUGCUAGUCUGCCAGGCCAGUUCCAUCCAGGGUUGGCACCUGGAGUUGUCACAUGUGACAGGACCCUGCUCAGGCCACUGCUACUAGGCCUUUGUGUCCAAGCAUUGUGCCUGACUAUCCUGAUAGUAACCUGCUGGUGGGAAUAGCAGUGAGCAGAUGAGAGUCAGACCCAUGUGACGCCCAGGAGCUCCUGUCUUUCUGGCCACACCUCUGAAGCCAGCAAAGACCAGUUGGGGUUUCCAGUCCUUUGCUUUUGUUAUAAAAAGUAUGUCAAUAUUUAUCUUUCAAAAGGAGAGAUAUGCCCUUUGCUGUUCCUGACAACUCUGUCUAUAUGGUCUCUUUUAAUGGCCACUUGCUCAGGUGAGGGGUAGGAACUGAUCCCUUAUCCCCAGUAGGCCUCACAGCUCAGAGCCUUUGGUUUCACAAACCCUGGAUGGCAUCUGCCUGUAUGUUUUACGUGUGUUUUGUUGGAAGGAGUACAGGAAAGUGUAUUGCUAGGCCACACAGAAGAGAGAGGAAGGAUCUAAAAAAAACCCCAAGAGUACCUUUGAACACCAGCUCUGGGAUCCUCUUGUCCUGUCCCCAUGAAGAUCAGUGUAGUGAGUGGUCAGGCCCACCUCUGCCCUGUGGGGGCCAUAGUGUCCUUUGUAUCAAAAAGAUUAUGCUAUAGGAAGUUGUGACCUCUGUGCAGCCUGUGUCCUUUGUCAUUUGGUUGGGGUGGAGGCAGGUGGCCACUGGCCUAAGGGAUAAAGCUUCACUCAUACAAUCAGGUCUGGCUUUCUUCUAAUUUUAUCCCCCUUGUUGCUGUCCCUUGACUGGACAUGUAGGGGACUCUGGUUCUUAGUGCUGCAGGUGACUGACCUUGCACAUACUACUUUGGGCUGGGACUCUGGCCACAUGGAAUUUUUAUUUGGAUCCGUAGUGCCAGAAGGUGCUCCAAAGAGGUGGCACUAGAUAACCUGCUCCACCCCCAUCUGGAUCAGGGCUCCCUUCUUCCCAUGCCUCACCAGCCAGGCCGAGACAGUACCAUGCCUCUGUCCCCUACAUGCUCAGAAAGUCAAGUCAGUGGUAUCCUGAUGAACCCCCACAGGGCCAGGUCUGUCUGUGUAGGGAAGGGCAGGCAUGACUGGAAAGAGCCCAAAUCAAGCUGUCCUCCCACCCCCUCACAAUAGCCCUGCCAGUUGGAUGCCUAGAAUAUUUUACAACUCGAGAGCAUGAAACAUGAAGAGGUUAAGUGCCCAAGCUUCCCCAGGUAUGUGUACAGGAGCUGGAACUUGAACCCUCAGCCACUCACUGUCAGGCUUCAUCAUGGUGGAUAUAGGGAGAUUUCAUCUUUCACACGGCUGCAAGCCCUGUGACCUCUCGAAGUAUCCUGGCUGACUGAACCUGACCUUUGGAAUAGAUAGAAUUUGCCAGUCUCUACCAGUUAUAAGGAAUUCUCCCACAAGCUUCCAGAGUGAGGCAUCUGUGGGUCAGGCCAAAUUUAGCUGUGUGGAGCUAGAAGGAUGGUCUGAAGCCGUGGAGAGAGUUCUGGAAAGGUUGGAUGCAGUCAAAAGCAAGGUCCAAGGGGGCCUGGGCACAGAACCAGCACACAGGGACGAGCUGAAGUGUUGUGUUCACUCUGAGUGAAACAAGAGCAUCGUUCCAAACGGUUACACGUUGCCCAGGCUUCGUUCUCUGCUCUUAAAUACCUUCCCAUUUCAUGGCUGUUCAGAGAGUAAUCAGCCAGCUUCCCACUUGGGCUCAGGAAGUUUGUCCAGGCGGCCCCUAAAUUAGCAGGGUCUGCCAGCUCCCCCUGUCUGAGGGUGGUGCUUCUCUUGUGUCAGAGCAGCCACCAGCAUGGCACAGAUGGACGCUCUCCUGUAAUGACAGCAGCCACAGAUCCAGCACUUCUCCAACUCAAGAACCCGGAAAAUCAAAAUCAGAGCACUGCACAGGAACAUCUAAGCCUCGAUGAGUUUGUAGCUUCCUUCCCACAACAGCCAUGCAUAUUUGGAAGAGUGCUGUAGGAUGAGAUUCAGUCUACAGGUGAAUAAAAGAUCUGUAGAAUCCACUCAUGCCAAGAAGUCCUGACAGAGUGGCUUGGCCAUGCAACACUUCUCUCCCCAGAAGACCAGUGUUCUGAAAUUUCAUGCCCAGUGCACCUGUUUCUACCUUCAGGAACCACUCUGUGUCCCCAGCCGGAAGCCCAGCUUGCAGCACAGCCCUCGGGGCUCCCAAAGACUGAAAUCUGGAACAGCCUUUCUGUUAUUUGGAGCCAUUUCCAGAAGUGGAAAUGAGAAGAGACCUUGGAAGGGUAGUUCAAGAAGUAACACCUCUGGUGGCUCCAGGUCUCUUCAAACAAUACCAGUUUCUGGUGGGGAACAAGGUUCAAUAGUAAAAUGGGAAGAACUUUCCAGAUCUGAGGGAGGCAUAGCCCAAUGUGUACCAUUCCCCUAGUACCUUGUUUCUGCUGAGGUACCAGUCCUCUUCUUGCUCCUAACCUACCUUGGCUCCCAGGCCCCUCCCAUCUAGAGCCCCCUGGGAUAUCAACCUCUGUCUGUUUCUUCCAGGUGCUCUGGCCUGCUAGGCCUCUUUACUUACCUGCGUGCUACUGCUGGCCUCCUGAGGCCUCUCUCCUGAGGACGAACCCAACCAAAAGCCCAGCCCCUCAAAAGCUGGGAUUUUUUUGUUUUGUUUUGUCUAGCUGACUUAAGCCUCAAGAGAUUGGUCUCAGCCUUCCUAGUGUGGGGACCCUUUAAUACCCUUCAUGUUGUGGCGUUUCCCUGCCAUAAAACUAUUUUCGUUGCUACUUUACAACUGUAAUUUUGUUACUGUUGUGAAUCGUAAUAUAAAUAUUUGUGGUUUCCAAUGGUCUUAGGUGACCCGUGACAGGGUCUUGACCCGCAUGUUGAGAACUAACUCCAUGGUUUUUGUGUCUGGGAUGGCUACCCAUUUCUCUGCUGACUGCUGCGGCUAACCACCUUCUCCUUAAAGAACGUUUCUCCUAAGACUCCCCCGAAUUGGGUUAGGAAAACUCUAGGAUAUUUGAGGGUCUCAGUCAGAUCCCGGAGUUGGUCCUGACUUGGCUGCCCAUCUGAUGCUCACCUCUUCUAAAGAGGGCAGAAUGAAGUUUAAGGUGGGUGGCCUUUCCGGGAGAAGAGCAACCACAACGGACGCGAACUUCCUGCGACCUCAUACUGAGGAAGGAAAGGGUCUGAAGAAGGCGAGUCAAAGUGGGUUUCUCCCUAGGGGGAGCCUAGGCAGACCAACAAGAGGGAGUAAACCGAUCUGGCAAGCUUCCUGUGUGCUCCUGGCACGUCCCCAGACCCUGGCUCAGGAAGGGGCUUGCUUUGAAGUUUCCGGCAAGACCUGCCCAUUGCUGUUCAAACGGCUUAUUUGUCUAGUGGCUUAAGGAAGGGGACUGGCGGUGGGGGUGGCAGCGCCUGGCUUGGCGCCGUUGCACCCUGAGGGUCCGUGCAUUUGGGAACUCCAGCUUCUGUGAACUAGAGGAUGUUGAGAUCAGGCCGAGAACCCCAGGGGGACUCGGUACUCCGGCCGGCUGUUUCAGGCUAGCGGGGAGCUGGAGCCGCCUCGCACCGCCACUCCGCGCAGGGUGGGAGGGAGCGAGGGAGGCGAGGGGACGAGCGCCGGCUCCCCGCCCCCAUCCCACCCGGUUCCGAUAUUUAGCUGAAAGGCACGCGGCUCCUAAUCGGCCCUUUCCAGGCUGAGAUGUAGCGGCGCUCUGCCCGCGCAAGGGCGGGGGCCGGGCCCGGGGAGGCGCAGAGUCCGGAGCCUGCGAGCGAGAUAACCAGCCCGAGUCAUGCAGUCUUUUCGAGAAAGGUGUGGUUUCCAUGGCAAACAGCAAAACUACCCACAGACCUCCCAGGAGACAUCGCGCCUGGAGAACUACAGGCAGCCGGGUCAGGCUGGGCUAAGCUGUGAUCGGCAGCGGCUGCUGGCCAAGGACUACUACAGCCCUCAGCCCUAUACAGGCUAUGAGGGUGGCACUGGUACACCUUCUGGCACGGUGGCCACAGCAGCUGCAGACAAGUACCACCGAGGCAGCAAAUCCCUGCAGGGGAGGCCAGCUUUCCCCAGCUAUGUUCAAGACAGCAGCCCCUACCCAGGGCGCUACUCUGGCGAGGAAGGUCUUCAGACCUGGGGGGGCCCACAGCCACCGCCUCCUCAGCCACAGCCUCUGCCCGGGGCAGUGAGCAAGUAUGAGGAGAACCUGAUGAAGAAGACAGUUGUGCCUCCUCCAAACAGGCAGUACCCUGAGCAGGGCCCCCAGCUUCCCUUCCGGACUCACAGCCUGCAUGUCCCACCACCACAGCCUCAGCAGCCCCUGGCUUACCCCAAACUCCAAAGGCAGAAACCACAGAACGACCUUGCCUCCCCUCUGCCCUUCCCCCAGGGCAGCCACUUUCCCCAGCAUUCCCAGUCCUUCCCUACCUCCUCCACUUAUGCCCCAACAGUGCAGGGUGGUGGGCAGGGGGCCCACUCCUACAAGAGCUGCACAGCACCAUCUGCCCAGCCUCAUGAUAGGCCGAUGAGUGCCAAUGCGAACCUGGCUCCAGGGCAACGGGUCCAGAAUCUUCACGCUUACCAGCCUGGCCGCCUUGGCUACGAGCAGCAGCAGCAAGCACUUCAAGGCCGUCACCACACCCAGGAAACACUCCACUACCAGAACCUCGCCAAGUACCAACACUAUGGACAGCAAGGCCAGGGCUACUGUCCACCGGACACAGCUGUCAGGACUCCAGAGCAGUAUUACCAGACUUUCAGCCCGAGCUCCAGCCACUCCCCUGCACGGUCUGUGGGUCGCUCCCCUUCCUAUAGCUCCACCCCGUCACCACUGAUGCCCAAUCUGGAGAACUUCCCCUAUAGCCAGCAGCCGCUUAGUACUGGGGCCUUCCCCACAGGCAUCACAGACCACAGCCACUUUAUGCCCCUGCUUAACCCGUCCCCAACAGAUGCUGCCAGCUCUGUGGACCCCCAGGCCGGCAACUGCAAGCCCCUGCAAAAGGAGAAGCUGCCUGACAACUUGCUCUCCGACCUCAGCCUGCAGAGCCUCACAGCGCUCACCUCCCAGGUGGAAAACAUCUCCAACACCGUGCAGCAGCUCUUGCUGUCCAAAGCUACCAUGCCACAGAAGAAAGGGGUCAAGAACCUCGUGUCCAGGACUCCAGAGCAGCACAAAAGCCAGCACUGUAGCCCUGAAGGCAGCGGCUACUCAGCUGAGCCAGCGGGCACACCGCUGUCUGAGCCGCCGAGCAGCACGCCACAGUCCACCCAUGCUGAGCCACAGGACACUGACUACCUGAGUGGCUCUGAGGACCCGCUAGAGCGCAGCUUCCUCUACUGCAGCCAGGCCCGGGGCAGCCCCGCCAGGGUCAACAGCAACUCCAAGGCUAAGCCCGAGUCUGUGUCCACCUGUUCUGUGACCUCACCUGAUGACAUGUCCACCAAGUCCGACGACUCUUUCCAGAGCCUGCACAGUACUCUGCCCCUGGACAGCUUCUCCAAAUUUGUGGCAGGCGAGCGGGACUGCCCGCGGCUGCUGCUCAGUGCCCUGGCACAGGAAGAUCUGGCCUCCGAGAUCCUGGGACUGCAGGAAGCCAUUGUUGAGAAGGCUGACAAGGCCUGGGCUGAGGCUUCCAGCCUGCCCAAGGACAAUGGCAAGCCACCCUUCUCACUGGAGAACCAUGGCGCCUGCCUGGACACUGUAGCAAAGACUUCAUGGUCACAGCCAGGGGAGCCAGAGACCCUCCCUGAGCCUUUGCAGCUGGACAAGGGUGGCAGCACCAAGGACUUCAGCCCGGGGCUGUUUGAAGACCCCUCUGUGGCCUUUGCCACCACUGACCCGAAGAAAACAAGCAGUCCCCUGUCCUUCGGCACCAAGCCUUUGCUAGGGACUGCCACUCCUGACCCCACCACAGCAGCAUUUGACUGCUUUCCAGAUACACCCACUGCCAGCUCGGUGGAUGGUGCCAACCCCUUUGCCUGGCCAGAGGAGAACCUGGGCGAUGCUUGUCCUCGUUGGGGCCUCCACCCUGGUGAGCUUACCAAGGGCUUGGAACAGGGUGCAAAAGCCUCGGACGGCGUGGGCAAGGCAGAUGCACACGAGGCCUCUGCUUGCAUGGGCUUCCAGGAGGAUCAUGCCAUCGGGAAGCCAGCAGCCGCACUGUCCGGGGACUUCAAACAGCAGGAGGCAGAGGGGGUGAAAGAGGAGGUGGGUGGGUUGCUGCAGUGCCCCGAGGUGGCCAAGGCCAACCAGUGGCUGGAGGAGAGCCGCCAUUGCUGUUCCUCCACUGACUUCGGGGACCUGCCACUGUUGCCGCCCCCUGGCAGGAAGGAGGACCUGGAAGCUGAAGAGGAGUACUCUUCUCUGUGUGAACUGCUGGGGAGCCCUGAGCAGAGGCCCAGCCUGCAGGACCCGUUGUCCCCAAAGGCCCCGCUGAUGUGCACCAAGGAGGAGGCAGAGGAGGCGCUGGACACCAAGGCUGGCUGGGUCUCUCCAUGUCACCUCUCUGGGGAGCCUGCUGUCCUACUGGGCCCCUCUGUGGGUGCCCAAUCAAAGGUUCAGAGCUGGUUUGAAUCUUCUCUGUCACACAUGAAGCCGGGAGAAGAAGGGCCAGAGAUGGAGAGGGCUCCAGGUAGUUCCGGCACCUCACAAGGCUCCUUGGCCCCGAAGCCUAACAAGCCUGCUGUACCUGAGGGGCCCAUUGCUAAGAAAGAGCCUGUGCCACGGGGUAAGAGCUUACGGAGCCGGCGAGUACACCGGGGGCUGCCUGAGGCGGAAGACUCUCCGUGCAGGGUGCCAGCACUUCCCAAAGACCUCUUGCUCCCAGAGUCUUGCACAGGGCCUCCACAGGGACAGGCCGAGGGGGCUGGAGCCCCAGGCCGGGGGCUGUCAGAAGGGCUCCCCAGAAUGUGUACCCGCUCGCUUACAGCUCUGAGUGAGCCCCAGACUCCUGGACCUCCGGGCCUGACUACCACCCCCACGCCUCCCGACAAACUGGGAGGUAAGCAGCGAGCUGCCUUCAAGUCUGGCAAGCGGGUCGGAAAACCAUCACCCAAGGCUGCAUCCAGCCCCAGCAACCCUGCUGCCCUGCCUGUUGCCUCAGACAGCAGCCCCAUGGGCUCCAAGACCAAGGAGCCAGACUCUCCCAGCAUGCCUGGCAAGGACCAGCGCUCCAUGGUCCUCCGGUCUCGCACCAAACCCCAGCAGGUCUUCCAUGCCAAACGGCGGCGGCCCUCGGAGAGCCGGAUCCCAGACUGCCGUGCCACCAAGAAGCUCCCUGCUAACAACCAUUUACCCACUGCGUACAAGGUCUCCAGUGGGCCCCAGAAGGAAGGUCGGAUGAACCAGCGGGUCAAAGUACCCAAGCCUGGUACAGGAAACAAGCUUUCAGAUCGGCCUCUCCACACGCUCAAGAGGAAGUCGGCUUUCAUGGCACCUGUCCCCGCCAAAAAACGGAGCCUCAUCCUGAGAAGCAACAAUGGAAGUGGGGGAGACGGGAGGGAGGAGAGGGCUGAGAGUUCCCCUGGCCUCUUACGGAGGAUGGCCUCACCCCAGAGGGCCAGACCCAGGGGUAGUGGGGAGCCACCCCCACCCCCACCCUUGGAGCCACCUGCUGCAUGCAUGGGGUUGUCUACACAGUCAUCCCUGCCCAGUGCUGUGAGGACCAAGGUGCUGCCACCGCGAAAGGGCCGCGGCCUCAAGCUGGAGGCCAUAGUACAGAAGAUCACCUCACCUGGGCUCAAGAAACUCGCAUGCAGAGUGGCAGGGGCCCCUCCUGGGACACCCCGGAGCCCAGCCCUGCCUGAGAGACGUCCAGGGGGCAGUCCAGCCGGGGCGGAAGAGGGUUUAGGAGGAAUGGGGCAAAUGCUACCAGCAGCUUCCGGAGCUGACCCAUUGUGCAGGAACCCAGCCAGCAGGUCCCUAAAAGGUAAACUCUUGAACAGUAAGAAGCUGUCCUCUGCUGCUGACUGCCCCAAAGCUGAGGCCUUCAUGUCCCCGGAGACCCUGCCAUCACUAGGGACUGCCCGAGCACCGAAGAAAAGGAGCCGGAAAGGCAGAACUGGGACCUUGGGACCCUCCAAAGGUCCGUUGGAGAAGCGGCCAUGUCCGGGCCAGCCUCUGCUCCUCGCUCCCCACGACAGGGCCAGCAGCACUCAGGGCGGAGGCGAGGACAACUCCAGUGGAGGAGGCAAGAAGCCAAAGACAGAGGAGCUGGGACCGGCCUCCCAGCCCCCUGAAGGCCGGCCCUGCCAGCCCCAGACAAGGGCGCAGAAGCAGCCGGGCCAAGCCAGCUACAGCAGCUAUUCCAAGCGGAAGCGCCUCAGCCGAGGCCGGGGGAAGACCGCCCACGCUUCACCCUGUAAGGGACGUGCCACUCGGAGAAGGCAGCAGCAGGUACUGCCCCUGGAUCCUGCAGAGCCUGAAAUCCGACUCAAAUACAUUUCCUCUUGCAAGAGGCUGCGGGCAGACAGCCGCACCCCAGCCUUCUCGCCCUUUGUGCGGGUGGAGAAGCGAGAUGCUUACACCACCAUAUGCACUGUCGUCAACUCCCCGGGGGAUGAGCCGAAGCCUCACUGGAAGCCAUCCUCCUCUGCUGCCUCCUCCUCCACCUCUUCCUCCUCCUUAGAACCAGCUGGGGCUUCUCUGACCACAUUCCCUGGAGGCUCUGUGCUGCAGCAGAGGCCCUCCCUGCCCCUCUCCUCCACCAUGCAUCUGGGGCCUGUGGUGUCCAAGGCCCUAAGUACCUCUUGCCUUGUCUGCUGCCUCUGCCAAAACCCGGCCAAUUUCAAGGACCUUGGGGACCUCUGUGGCCCCUACUACCCUGAACACUGCCUCCCCAAAAAGAAGCCAAAACUCAAGGAGAAGGCGCGGCUGGAGGGCACCUUGGAGGAGGCCUCUCUGCCUCUCGAGAGAACACUCAAAGGCCUGGAAUGUUCGGCCAGCACCACGGCUGCCGCCCCUACCACAGCCACUAUCACUACCCCCACGGCCCUGGGGAGACUGUCCAGGCCCGAUGGCCCAGCUGACCCUGCCAAGCAGGGCCCCCUGCGCACCAGUGCCCGGGGCCUGUCACGGCGGCUGCAGAGUUGCUAUUGCUGUGAUGGUCAGGGGGACGGGGGUGAGGAGGUGGCCCAGGCUGACAAGAGCCGCAAACAUGAAUGCAGCAAAGAGGCCCCUACAGAACCUGGUGGGGACACCCAGGAACACUGGGUCCAUGAGGCCUGUGCUGUGUGGACCAGCGGGGUGUACCUGGUGGCCGGGAAGCUCUUUGGGCUGCAGGAGGCCAUGAAGGUAGCUGUGGACAUGCCGUGUACCAGCUGUCACGAGCCCGGGGCGACCAUCUCGUGCUCCUAUAAAGGAUGUAUCCACACCUACCACUACCCAUGUGCCAAUGACACAGGUAAGAGCUGGCUUCAGGGGCCUGGGUACAACUAUUUCAACCCAGACCCCAUGUGCCUCCCAGGGCAUUCACCUGCCCCAGGAACUUUAUCUUGUUCUCUUCACCUCUGCCUGCAUUUGGCUGUGGAGAUGGGUGCGUCAGCCCCUACUUAGCUGAUGUUGAGGACUUCCAGAGCUGUCGGGACUCAAUGUGCAAAGUGAAGCAGGUCUCUGUGGUCUCUGACAGGUCCCUAUGGCCCACCCCAUUCUUACUUAUUCUCCGUGGGCCACAGGACUCAGAAGCCCAGCCUUAAUCCAUCUAGUGGGGACCUUAAUCACUUGUCUAUAAAGAAAGCAUCUCCUCACUGGGGAUGGCAACACCACUCUUGUCCAGGCUCAGCCCUGGUGGCUCUCCUUCCUGUGCCUGUCAUGCAGUCUUUGUACUUAGGCCCCAUCCACAGAGCUGGACUGUGAGCCGCUCUUCACUGGAGCAGCAGCAGGGUAAAUUAACACUGUCUAGAAGGUAUAGCGUCACCCUCCCUCCAUCCCACCCAGCUCUGGCCUGGUCCUCCCAGCCUGAGCAGUCGUCACUGCACUGCUCUUUCUGCUCUCUGGAUCCGGAGCCAGCGUCAGCCACAGCUAAUCAGUCUCAGGGGAGGACUGAGCUGCACCCACCAGAAGGGGACGGUGAUGGGUACCGGGCUGGGGUUAUCUUGGGCUCUGCCCCAUCAGCAUGGUGGCCUGUGUGGAAUGUGGACUUAACCCGAGUGCAUGGGCUCACUCCCCAUCCAGCUACCUCAGCCGAGGUCUGGGGUGUCUGUUCUCCCCCACUCCAGGCCAGUCCAGCUUCCCCAGGGCCUCAACCUGAAGGGGACUGAUUGCCAGGACCGCCAUGGCUGGUGACUUCUCCGUUGCUGUGAUAAAAUUCCAACAACAGCAACUUAGGGAAGGGAAGAUUUAUUUUGCCUCACAGUUCCAAGUCCCAAGUUAUCAUAGUAGGGAAAUCAUAGCAAAGGCACUUACGGGAGCCAGCCGCACUGCAUCAGUAAAGAAGCAGAGGAGCCAAGCAUGGUGGGACACUUUUAAUCCUAGCACUUGGGAGACAGAGGCAAGCAGAUGUCUUUUGAGUUUGAAGCCAACCUGUUCUACAUAGGAAGUUCCAGGCCUGCCAGGGCUAUAUAGCUCAGAUGGCCAGGCAGUUGAGAGCUCCCUCAGAGGUUUCAAGUUCAGUUCCCAGCACCCACACAAUGGUGGCCUACAAAUCCAGCUCCAGUGGAUCUGAUGCCCUCUUCUGGCUUCUAUGGGUACUGCAUUCAUGUAUACAAGUACAUACUCAGCCAUACAUAUACUUUAAAGAGUUCAAGGCCAGCAUGGUCUACAGAAUGAAUCUAGGCCAGCCAAGACUGCACCCCCUACCCCCAGAUAAUAACAAUAACUUUAAAAAAAGGUAGUAGCAAUGGAGAACAACAGAUCUCACUGCAAUUAACCUAAUCAAGAUCCUCCCUCAUGGGGCUGGAAGAGGUGGCUCAGCAGCCGGGAGCACUAGCUGCUCCUCAGGAGCACUUGGCUUUGAUUUUCAGUACUCACAUGGUGGCUUUAUAGUCAUCUGAAACUCCAGGUCCAGGGCAUCUGAUGUCCUUUUUUGGCCUCUGCUGACACUAGGCACACAUGGUAUAUAAACCUACAUUGUAGUCAAAACAACCAUAAAUGUAAAAUUUUUAAAAAGUUAAUCCCUUCACAGGCAUUCCCAGAGACCCAUUUUCCAGGUUAUUUUAAAUUCUUUCUAGCUGACAAUGAGCAGUACUCACAUCAGAUCGGGAGAUAGUGUGCUUAUAAAGAAAGCCAUUCUCUCUGAGCUGGAGGAACGUGGGGAAGAUUCCAGAUGGGCAACAUUGGAGCCAGGCCCCAAACAUCAGAUGCCUUAAGCCAUGCCUGGUUAGUUCAGGACUGCAGAGCAGGCCUUGAACACUCAACAGAAAUCUCAGACUCAAUAGAUCUGAGGCUGAGAGGGGCCUGGGGCGGUGAGACACCAGCCUGACAGGCUGAUGAGCCAGCAGUCCCAGCAGGGGAGGGUGGUUGUCUGGUAAAGGUGGAGCCAUACAUGCUAGAGACUGCAGGACAGAAUUCACAGGCCUUACAAUGGGAGAGCAGGCAUGGGGCGCCUGGUUUCCUCACUUUACAAUGUUGAUCUGGGCAGGGCUAGCAUGGGAAGAUUGGGCAUUUAUAGCUGGGUUAAGCUCCUGACCCUUCCAUACCCAGUUUGGUGGCUUCUUAGUACCUUCUGGGCCAGUGCUGUCUGCUUCAGGUGGUUGGCCUAGCACAUCCCCUGAUAGUAGCGGGGCCCUAACAAGGAACAAGGCUUGUAGCUUGUUUUUUGUUGGCCAAAGGUGGGUCACAUAAAGCUCCGGUUUGGAGGGUGGGUGGGGACUACAGAGCCAGGUAGCCGAGGGUAGGGCACGGUAGGAGGCAGUCUCUGCCAUUGGGCUCCUGACCUCAGCAUUGGGGCUUGAUGGGGGACUCUGAAUAGCUAUCAGGGAGGUGGAGCCCUGGGAAACAGCAGUCAUGGCAAAUGACAAGGUCAGAGUGCCUGGCCACGUGGCUAGGAGUACAGGAAUAAUAUACCACAUGGGCCAGCCACUCCUAGGUGUCCUCAGACUCCUAGGUUGCUAGAAAGGACUGGAAACCCCCUUUUGCCUCUCACAAGAGCAUAGCAGCUAUAGCACAGGAUCCAGUUUAAACAUCUGUAUUCAGUCCCAAAGCUACCCCCACCCCAGUUCCUGCUCUCAGCUGAGCUGACUGGGAAGUAGCAAGGCCCCACUGUUAGCAAGCACCCGUAGGUUAUAGCUAAACCUUGGUCCAGUGUAGGUGCAGUCCCAAACGUGUGUGCCUGCGUGCACCCACCCCCAGCAGUUGGCCCUAGAAGACAACCUCUCCUGCAGCUUUCUCAAGUGACAUCCACCUCCCUCCCCUCUGGGUGGAGAAGAGGGAAGGAAACAGGAAGUUCUGCACCAUCCCUAGUGUGAGAUGGGAGGCGAUGUCUGGGAAGGUGAGCCCCGAUCAGUAGCCGAGAAGGGAGCAAUGAUGGACCCAGGAGGCCUGUAGGUAGAGCGGACACCAGAGGACAAUGGCUAGGUUUUCUUAUGGCAGCUGGCAAGGACUCAUGAUAGCAGCACACUGCCCUGGGUAGGAAUAACAACUGGCUUGCUUAGCCAUCCUUUGUGGACAUCUGGGGGAUUCAUCUAGACCUGGACCUUGUAACCUCCUACUGCUGUCUCUUAAGAAUAAGCCCUUCCGUGUGGAACAUUUCCUCUGAACGUGAAGAAGGAUCAUGAGAGCACACAGUAGGUGACAUUGUGAUUGAUCUACAAUAUAGAGGCUGAGAUUCUGUAGCUGACAUUUCAGUCAAGACCUGAGACUCCACUCUGCAGUUGUCAGUCACCCAAGCAAUCAUGGGGUGCUUUCUGAGCAUGGACCUCUCCUGGCCACUGUGCAGGAGGUUGGGUCAGGAGUGGGCAUGUCUGAGAAUGAGUGUUCCUUCUCCUUUGGGGAGACCUGGGUAGGAGGGAGAUGGCCAGGUAGUGGUGGCCAGGGUGGGGGUGGGGCAGGGGGGGUGUCUAGGAGUGGAGGCCAGGAAGGGACAUAGCAGGGUAGAGGCAGAGGGGCUGCACCUCUGGGGGGAUUUGGACUAAUGAGGGUUCUGAGCAAGACCAGGGCAUCAGAACUAACACUGGCAGCCAGCCGGCUCUGCAUCACCACAGAAACUUUUCUUUGCUCACAGGUUGCACGUUCAUUGAGGAGAAUUUUACUUUGAAGUGCCCCAAACAUAAGAGGCUGCCGUUGUAAUCCCCGUGUGGCCGAAACUCCGAGGAAGAAGAGCUGCGCCCACAGCCGGUCCUUGAUCCCAUCCAGGGUCUAGGUUCCGGCUGCCUUGGGCGCUGGCGUGAGGCCUAGGUUGCGAAGAAAACCGGGGCCAGGCUUGGCGAAGGCAGGCCAGGGAGUGGCCAGACCCAGGGCACAAUGUCUCAGGCGGGGGGCAAGUCCCCUGCAAGUUCUGAAAAAGACGUGGCAUGCAAGCUGUGCCCCUGGGAAGAGGCUAGGCUGCUGGCUCAGUGGACGACGUGGGGCAGACCCAAGCCUUUCUUAGAGGCCCAGCGGCGGGGGACAUGGCUCAGCACUUGGCAUGGAUCUGCCCAAGAUCGUGGCAGCCUGGGCUCAGGCCAGUCUAUCCUUGAUGCGGGCUGGCCUGGGGUGGCGCCCUAUGGCUUCUGUUUGUCCCCUUUCCAGUCUUCCACCCCACUGUUGGAGCCCCGUCUGGAAGCCUGAGGAGACUGGGCCUGGCUACCCUCUAGCAGAUGUGCAGCUGUCCCAGACAAAACACCAACAUGGGAUUCAGGGACUGCCACUCAGCUCACUCGGCUCAUAGGCGGAGACAGUGCUAGAUUCGUGUACAAACCUGUGUACCCCUCUAUAUAUAUGUUACAUAGAAUGUAUAUAUGUUGGGAACAUGCUCGCUUCUGUGUGUCGCUGCUGUGCGUCGUGUGCUCCACAGCACAGAGCCCUAACCUGGCCUUGGCUGGGGUCGGGGCCAAAGUGAUGCCCCUUCCCCGAGCAACUACCACCAUCACCACCACCACGGCCAGCCCCCACCUGUCCGUUUGUGUCCUCAGCUCUGUCCACGCUUUAAUAGGCCUGAUGCAGCCCCUUCUCCCUGCAACGUUCUGUACAUAUGACUGUAAAAUGGUAAACGUGUGUAUUAUAUCUGGCCUCGUUAUAUAGUGUAUAUAUAUGUAUACAUAUACAUAUAUAUAAUAUAUAUGAAGACUGUAAAUGUUAAGACAACUAGUGUUCUUAUUAGUAUAUUGCUUCACACUGAAGAUUGUGUGUAUCGAGCUGUUUCUAAAAGAUGUUUAUUUUCCUUAAGAGUUAAAAAAAAAAAAAACAGUCAUUGCAUUCAGAAAAAAAAAAGUCAAUAAAGAUACCACGAUUGUUUUGGAA